RNAcentral lists this long non-coding RNA (707 nucleotides) under Linum usitatissimum (flax). RNAcentral's name for it is "long non-coding RNA (LUSI_LNC002944)". Lineage: Eukaryota; Viridiplantae; Streptophyta; Magnoliopsida; Malpighiales; Linaceae. The record is from RNAcentral.
UUUGGUUCUAAAAUUAUUAUUUCCCAUUUUCACAAUGACCAACUUAUUCUUAAGAUUAGAAUUAGGAACAAUGUAACAACAACCACCACACCCACAUAAUUAUAACAAAUUGAAAAAUCUGAAACACAUUAAAAAUGAUAAAAAAUAUACUACCCAACUGAGGAGAAGUAGGGAUGGGUUUUGGCGACAUAAUCGAUGACAGAAAUUAAUCUGGAACAAACUACAAUCAGCGUCGAAUCAAACAGAAAAAACUAAAUGGAAUGAGGCCGACGUAUAACAUAUUCUUGUGAAUAAAUAAACAGCGGAAAGAAGAAGUUCGUGAACUCGACCCUUCGUCACCCGACGACUACAAUUCGCCGGAAAAAAAACACAAAAAGGAGAAAAAAACACAGGGGUUACAGAUCGGGAAUAAAUGACAGAUAAAUAAAAGUACAAAACAAAGCAAUGGCUAACCUUUCUUGAUGUUAAAUGGUAUUCGCAGCCGACCACAACAGUUGAGGGGAAAGAUAAGGUGUUCAUGACGACGGUGAAUUUGUAAAUAAGAAUCUUUAAAGAUUAGGAUUUUUGGUUUAUAAUGAGAAAAUAGGGAAAAAACAGGAGACUAAAUUGAUUAUAUGUCGACGAAAGUUGAGGUGACGAUCGGCAGAAUGGUGAUUAAAGGCGACGGCGAUUUCUAAAAAAAAUUGAUGAAGAUAGUUUUUUUGUUU